Molecule: ribosomal RNA, 1334 nt
Filed under: Lactiplantibacillus pentosus
Lineage: Bacteria; Bacillati; Bacillota; Bacilli; Lactobacillales; Lactobacillaceae
Description: bacterial SSU rRNA
Rfam family: Bacterial small subunit ribosomal RNA
Source: RNAcentral
UCAUGCAAGUCGAACGAACUCUGGUAUUGAUUGGUGCUUGCAUCAUGAUUUACAUUUGAGUGAGUGGCGAACUGGUGAGUAACACGUGGGAAACCUGCCCAGAAGCGGGGGAUAACACCUGGAAACAGAUGCUAAUACCGCAUAACAACUUGGACCGCAUGGUCCGAGUUUGAAAGAUGGCUUCGGCUAUCACUUUUGGAUGGUCCCGCGGCGUAUUAGCUAGAUGGUGGGGUAACGGCUCACCAUGGCAAUGAUACGUAGCCGACCUGAGAGGGUAAUCGGCCACAUUGGGACUGAGACACGGCCCAAACUCCUACGGGAGGCAGCAGUAGGGAAUCUUCCACAAUGGACGAAAGUCUGAUGGAGCAACGCCGCGUGAGUGAAGAAGGGUUUCGGCUCGUAAAACUCUGUUGUUAAAGAAGAACAUAUCUGAGAGUAACUGUUCAGGUAUUGACGGUAUUUAACCAGAAAGCCACGGCUAACUACGUGCCAGCAGCCGCGGUAAUACGUAGGUGGCAAGCGUUGUCCGGAUUUAUUGGGCGUAAAGCGAGCGCAGGCGGUUUUUUAAGUCUGAUGUGAAAGCCUUCGGCUCAACCGAAGAAGUGCAUCGGAAACUGGGAAACUUGAGUGCAGAAGAGGACAGUGGAACUCCAUGUGUAGCGGUGAAAUGCGUAGAUAUAUGGAAGAACACCAGUGGCGAAGGCGGCUGUCUGGUCUGUAACUGACGCUGAGGCUCGAAAGUAUGGGUAGCAAACAGGAUUAGAUACCCUGGUAGUCCAUACCGUAAACGAUGAAUGCUAAGUGUUGGAGGGUUUCCGCCCUUCAGUGCUGCAGCUAACGCAUUAAGCAUUCCGCCUGGGGAGUACGGCCGCAAGGCUGAAACUCAAAGGAAUUGACGGGGGCCCGCACAAGCGGUGGAGCAUGUGGUUUAAUUCGAAGCUACGCGAAGAACCUUACCAGGUCUUGACAUACUAUGCAAAUCUAAGAGAUUAGACGUUCCCUUCGGGGACAUGGAUACAGGUGGUGCAUGGUUGUCGUCAGCUCGUGUCGUGAGAUGUUGGGUUAAGUCCCGCAACGAGCGCAACCCUUAUUAUCAGUUGCCAGCAUUAAGUUGGGCACUCUGGUGAGACUGCCGGUGACAAACCGGAGGAAGGUGGGGAUGACGUCAAAUCAUCAUGCCCCUUAUGACCUGGGCUACACACGUGCUACAAUGGAUGGUACAACGAGUUGCGAACUCGCGAGAGUAAGCUAAUCUCUUAAAGCCAUUCUCAGUUCGGAUUGUAGGCUGCAACUCGCCUACAUGAAGUCGGAAUCGCUAGUAAUCGCGGAUCAGC